RNAcentral lists this ribosomal RNA (563 nucleotides) under uncultured bacterium. Its description in RNAcentral is "bacterial SSU rRNA". It matches the Rfam family "Bacterial small subunit ribosomal RNA", at positions 338 to 916 of the family's 1533-position model. The record is from RNAcentral.
CCUACGGGAGGCAGCAGUGGGGAAUCUUGCGCAAUGGGCGAAAGCCUGACGCAGCAACGCCGCGUGCGGGAAGAAGGCCUUCGGGUUGUAAACCGCUUUCAGAAGGAACGAAAAUGACGGUACUUUCAGAAGAAGGUGCGGCCAACUACGUGCCAGCAGCCGCGGUGACACGUAGGCACCAAGCGUUGUCCGGAUUUAUUGGGCGUAAAGAGCUCGUAGGCGGUUCGGUAAGUCGGGUGUGAAAACUUUGGGCUCAACCCAAAGCGUGCAUUCGAUACUGUCGUGACUAGAGUUCGGUAGGGGAGCGGGGAAUUCCUAGUGUAGCGGUGAAAUGCGCAGAUAUUAGGAGGAACACCGGUGGCGAAGGCGCCGCUCUGGGCCGAAACUGACGCUGAGGAGCGAAAGCGUGGGUAGCAAACAGGAUUAGAUACCCUGGUAGUCCACGCCGUAAACGUUGGGCACUAGGUGUGGGUCUCAACCAACGAGAUCCGCGCCGUCGCAAACGCAUUAAGUGCCCCGCCUGGGGAGUCGGCCGCAAGGUUAAAACUCAAAUGAAUUGACGG